UGAAUAUAGUUUAACAAAAAUCCUAGCUUGUGAUUCUAGAGACGAGGACUAACAACCCUCUAUUCACC
This 68-nucleotide transfer RNA is filed under the name Osteocephalus aff. cabrerai DO-2022. RNAcentral describes it as "tRNA-His". Lineage: Eukaryota; Metazoa; Chordata; Amphibia; Anura; Hylidae. The record is from RNAcentral.